RNA transcript from Tyto alba (common barn owl), 6351 nucleotides. It is a transcript of the gene named 5-hydroxytryptamine receptor 7, with no coding region annotated. The transcript is spliced from 3 exons. The record is from RefSeq and is a predicted model, not a curated record. Lineage: Eukaryota; Metazoa; Chordata; Aves; Strigiformes; Tytonidae.
AGGAGGGAGCGGGGGGCGGAGCGGCUGCCGCUCCGUCCCCCGCCGCCGUCGGAGGAACAGCAGCCGCGGGUGGGAGCGGGCGGUGGGCGCGGGUGGGCGGGGAGCGGCCGCCACCCCCGCCCGCCCGCCCCUCUCCCCGCGGGCUGGGGGCGAUGGCGCCGUGCCCACCCCCCGGCCGCCCGGGCAGCGCCAUGGGCGAGCCCGGCUGCUCCGGGGGAAGUUGAAGGCUGGGCCCCCCGGCGGGCCGCUCCGCCGGCUGCGAGGGGGCGGGCGGCGGUGGGUGCCCGAGGAGGAGCCCGAGCAUCUCGGGCGGCGGGGAGAGCCGGCGAGCGGGCAGAGGGGCUUCAUGGGCAGCUCACGCCAACAUGGUCCUCGCCCUCAACGGCAGUCACCUCUACGGUAACCUCCGGCCCUUGGUCCUGGAGGACCCGCGGGCGCUGAGCGGCGGCAGGAUGAUCGCCGGCUCCUGGCCCCCGCGCAGCCUGGCGAGGCUCGGCCCGUCGCCCCCCCCGUCGGCGCUGCCCACGGCGAGCCCCCUCCCCGCCAACGACUCGCAGUGCGGGGAGCAGAUCCUCAGCUACGGCAACGUGGAGAAAGUUGUCAUCGGGGCCGUCCUCUCCCUCAUCACCCUGCUGACCAUCGCCGGCAACUGCCUGGUGGUCAUCUCCGUCUGCUUCGUGAAGAAGCUGCGGCAACCCUCCAACUAUCUCAUCGUCUCGCUGGCCCUGGCCGACCUCUCGGUGGCCCUAGCCGUCAUGCCCUUCGUCAGCGUGACCGACCUCAUCGGCGGCGAGUGGAUCUUCGGGCGCCUCUUCUGCAACGUCUUCAUCGCCAUGGACGUCAUGUGCUGCACAGCCUCCAUCAUGACUCUCUGCGUGAUCAGUAUCGACAGGUACCUGGGAAUAACGAGACCUCUUACAUACCCUGUAAGGCAGAAUGGGAAGUGCAUGGCCAAAAUGAUCCUGUGUGUAUGGCUCUUAUCUGCCUCUAUCACUAUACCCCCACUCUUCGGUUGGGCCCAAAAUGUAAAUGAUGAAAAGGUUUGUUUGAUCAGUCAAGACUUUGGCUACACCAUUUACUCCACAGCAGUUGCAUUUUAUAUUCCAAUGUCAGUGAUGCUUUUCAUGUACUAUCAGAUUUACAAAGCUGCCAAGAGGAGUGCUGCUAAACACAAGUUUGCUGGUUUUCCCCGGCCAGAAGAAAUGGAAGGGAUUUCUAUGAAUGGAGUUGUAAAACUGCACAAGGAAUCUGAAGAAUGUACUAAUUUUUCACGGCUCCUAAAACACGAUAAGAAAAACAUUUCCAUCUUUAAAAGAGAACAGAAAGCUGCCACUACGCUUGGGAUUAUUGUUGGGGCUUUCACUGUCUGCUGGCUGCCCUUCUUCCUUCUCUCAACUGCCAGGCCCUUCAUCUGUGGUACAGCAUGCAGCUGUAUCCCACUGUGGGUUGAGAGAACAUUUCUAUGGUUGGGUUAUGCAAACUCUCUCAUUAACCCUUUUAUAUAUGCCUUCUUCAAUCGGGACUUGAGGACAACUUAUCGCAAUCUCCUGCAAUGCAGAUAUAGGAAUAUCAACCGGAAACUAUCAGCUGCAGGGAUGCAUGAGGCUCUGAAGCUUGCAGAAAAGCCAGAAUUUGUUCUGUAAGGUCACUCAUCCUUUAUUAUGAUAAUUUAUUGUUUUAUCAUAUUAGCUUUUCCCCCACAGAUUUGAAAGAAGAGUUAUAGGAAGAAUCAGGCUUCUUGAGCACUGUUAAUGCAGUCAUCAAGAAACUGGAAGGUAGCAAGGUUAAUUCUUCUACAGCCCACUGGUCCUAUCAAGCCUGGAGAAACAAGACCACCAUCUAAAGAAUUUGUGUGCAAGAGGAAUACCUGAAAGGGGGAGGGUAAAAGGUGGUGCAGGAUCUUUGGGUUGCUAGUGAGGAAUGAGCAAACUUGGCCUAAUCCAUUCAUUUGGUCCUUGGCCCCAAAUGACUUUUAAUAGGUCUGAAUGUUGGAUACAUCUUGUAUCCUAGAGAUUUUUUUCUGUAAUAAACACCUGAGAAUGGUGAAAAGUUCAGUAUAAUUCAUUGCUUUCAACUUUGUUUUUAUAAAACUAAACCAUUUAAGAAGAAGCUGGAUCAAAGAACUAACAUUGCUUAGAAAAACUCUUUAUUAUAAAAAAAACAUACGUCCAUUAAAUGUUAAUUUACUGGAUUACCUGGAAGUAAACUACUUUGUGAAAUUUAAUGUUGCCUUUGCAUAGCAACUAUGGCACUGAAAGAAUAUGUUACACUUCCAAUGUGAAUAUAAGGGUUUGAGUAAAGUCACACAGACCGACAUAUACUGCUGCAUACAGUCAUGCAGCACGAUUAGUUGCAGUGCUGCUAUGCCAAUUACACCAGUGGUAUCUAGAUUAGGACUUUUAGUCAUUCCAGGACAUCGCUCAUCUAGUUCAUCCACUUUUUUAAAAAUGGAAGAAGUUCUGAUUUCUCCAGGGAAAAAGAGUCAAGACCAACUGUGCAUCAAGGCAGCCAGAAAAAGCCAGACCAGAACUGGAAGAAGAAAAAUGAAGAGUUGUCUUCUGAAGAACUGGAUAGAUUUAUGAAAUGUACUUCAUCUUCUUUUGAUGGGAAUGUGCUUAAAAUACUCAAUGAGCUCAACACGUUACAUUAAAUACAUUUCUGUUGGAAGUAGUCACAUCUUGUUUGUUAUGAAGAAAAGUGCUGCUAUAUACAAAUGAAAAUAGUUUUCUUCCUGAGAAAGCCAAAUCACUUCAGCAAUAAGAGUUUGACACAGAGCGGGGAAAAAGAAAUGCAACUAAAACUCAAAGAUAAAGCACUGUACAAAUUUUCACUACAUUCAGCAAUGUAGAAGAGCAUUCAUUUAUGUUUACCAUGCUUGUGGAUCGCGACAUUUGUAUUAAUAUUUAGGGGUUGUCAGUGAUACUGAUUAUAUUUGGUUGUACUACAAAAAGGUUUUCAAGCAAAUGGUGGCUCUGUGGAUGCUUUCAGUGCUUGUGUUAGAGAUGCUCUGCACUGGAAUGGGAUCAAGAAAGGCAACAAUAAAAGACUUAUUUUUGUGAAAGCAUUCUGUUGUACCAAGUAAAUGUCUGUUUACUUGUUAAUAUACACAUUGUUUAUUCUUCCUAACAUUUUAAAAAAGCUGCCUUCAGUUAUGCUCUGACAAAGGUUAAGGGACAGGAUUAGAACGCACACGUAUUACACCACAGUUAAAUUACAAAUAUGAUUGCUUUGCUUUAAUGCAAUUUUUGUCAUCUUCCAAUUUAUAAAAAACAAUUUUCUCUCAUUUUAAGUCAAAUAACUAUAAAAGGCCGGAGAAUUUCCAUAGCACUUUGCUUUUUGUCUUACCAGCUAGCCAGACUAGACUGAGAAUUACAACAUUUGUUUGUUUUUCUGUUUUUUUUGUUUUUUUUUUUUUUUAAUGUGUUUAAGAAGUGUUAUUUCUGUCAAUGUUUGGUUAUAAUUAAAAUAAACCCUUUUGACUUGACAAAAAUUAAAUAGGCAAGUGUUAAUGACCACUUGUCCCAUGGAAAACUGAUUCAAGGGAUCAUUCCUUAAAUAUGCCUUUGAACACUUUUUUUUUGAGCUUCUCAUAUUUAUUUCCUCUCAGAGUUUCUAAACUAUGUGUGGUUAUACAAUCCAUAAUGCAAUGGGAUAGACCAUUCCUAAACGCUGUCUUCUAUAAAGCUACAUUUCGGUAAGCACCUGCCUUAUUUCCAUAGCCAUAUGAUUUGUGAUAACUUAGUCUCCUACUUGCAGUUUAACUGAAACACUGCUGGUAAAUCAUCCACUGACUGAACAUGCGAUUACAGCUUUGAUUUCCUUUGUUCAAAUCAAUAUAUAAAUUCACACUAGUUAUCUAAAUAAGGAGCCAGGCAUACCAGCACGGGCCAAUUCAUUACUUAUCAGCAAGAGAUAAAUAUGGCAUGCAAAUCAAUCCAUGUUAAGCCUAUGUAAAACCUAGGAGAGAGCCUAAUCCGUCUUCUGCUCACUAUCCUGACACCCUAAACUGACAAGAGAGCACCAGAGUAGCAUGUUUUCAUUGUACUGGGUCAGCAAGACUCUUCAAUAUUCACUGAUAAAACUAAUCACUGAAAUCUGCAUUUGAAACAAAAUGAGUCUUAUAAUUUGCUUUAUUUCCCAAACUGAAUUACACAGCACUGCUUUUUACCUGGUUACCCUUAAGUAUUUAACAGGAAAUGGGACAGUUAUUGUCAAUGAUCAAUGGACCUGUUCCAGUUGAAUUACAUGAGAAUACAUUCAGAGAAACUCAGCCGAUGUAAAAAUUACGCUGGCAAAUAAUAUUAUAACUGGACAUAAUGAGAAAGAGAGAUGAUAUAUCCAUAAAUACAAUAGUAAAAAAAAAAAAAAAUUUUUCUUCUUUUAAAAACCCAAACCUUAAAAUAAAGGGCAGUGGUCAUACUCUGAAAUUUCUUUUUAAGCAUUACAGUCUCACUUGAAAAUCCACCUUACAAAGGCAAUGAAACAAUUUUACUUAGAUAAAUUAGACUGGCACUUUUCUUGUCCACAACGCUGUGUCAAAAUGUUAACUUCAAGUGAAAUGGAAAAAUUAUACAUCAUAUAAAUAAACUAAAUGGUUAAAAAAAUCCCAGAUGAAAAAAUGCUACCAGUGAUACCUUUCUGUAAAAAUUCCUGGGGGUUUUUUAAUGCUGUUUUUAAGCUUAAGUGAAAAUGGACAUUUUGGGAGAAAUAUAAUGGAAGACAAAAGAGUCAGGAAGAACUUUUAGCGAUCUACAAUUCUAGAAAAAAAUAAGUGUACAUAUAUAUAACUCACAAAACCAGCUGUCAUAUUUUAGAAUGGUACUGUCUCAUGAGAAGAAGGCAACAAAUUUAUUAUUAGAUAAUAAACAUUUGUUUCUUUUAAUAUCUAUUACAUUUCCAGAAUCUUGCAGAAAUUAUGAGAAUAUUUUACAAUAAUCUGCAGCAUCAUGGACCUACAAAAUUGAGUUCUACCUGUUUUUUUCAUAAAGAUUUUUUUAUCCAGGAAAUUUUCGGACACGUAAGCAACACAAAACCAAUGGGAACUACAGAAUACUGAUACUUUGUCAUACAAGAUGAAGCUCAUUUUUUUCCUACUGUAACUGUCAGGUCUGUCACCUCUCUCAAACCAACGCAUAAACCCACACGGUAACUAGAAAAGUCACUCAAGGCUAAGUACAUAUUCCUGACUAGCAAAAAAUACAUACAAUAUUUUAGACGAUUAAAGAAAAAGUAGGGCUGAUCAAAAGAAGUCAAGAGAUUAGAUGGCCUAUUGGGAUAACCAGUUGAUCUUUUAGUAGUUUCUGUAGUCAGCAGUACAAAAGCAGCACACAGACCUGCUUUACACUGAGAUAAUCCAAGUCCCUGGACUGCAGAUGUAAGUUUAGCAGAGUGAAUAAUGCCAGAAAUAAGGCUCAGACUCACAGUUCUGGAUCUAUAGAAAAUGCCUUUCUAUCUCUGUCACCAAACCUGUUCCUGAAUAUGACAGCGAGCAGUUUGCAUUUUCAGAGGGCUGCCUUAUGGCAGUUAUGACUGCAGUUGUCAAUUUUAAUAAUUAAAAUUAAUUUCCCAAAAGUUUUACAAAACCCUUGAUCUUUCACUAUGCGCCCCAGUAUGUCUUGUUCUCCAUCUGUAUUCUUGGGGUCAACAGACAGCUGAGGUGUUUGGUGGACUCGCCUACUACACCUUUACUGUAUCUCUCCUGUCCUUCCCUCUUCAUCUGUUUUUUGUCUAGGUUGAUCUGUUCUUUACAAACUUAAAGCCUUUUCGUACCUGCUCACUUGACUCUAGUGUAAAGUUCUUGCUAAACUAGCUAGUUUUAUUCAUAUGACAAAGUGAUUAAUUUGUUUCAGACCUGAGCAAAACCCAAAUACAAUGAUAAAAGAAUAAAGUUCUUAUUAUCACAAGAAGUACUGUUGAAAAAGGAACAUGAAAGCAUGAAAAACAUAUCUAUGUACAAUAUGAAAACAGUCAGAUAUUAUUGAUAAUUUUAAUAGAUAAAGUGAAUUUUAUAUAUUAUUUCAGUCAGCUGGGACUUUUAAUAUGCAAAAGUCACCAGAGGAUCGAGCUGAAACUAUGUAUUUUAAGUCAUAUAUUUCUCCUUGAUGGGAUCUAGUAAAGCAUAAUGACAGUUAACAUAAGAAACUAUUUCCUACAAAGAGCUUACCAAGAAAUACAAAUACAAGGAGAUUAAGUUCCUCAAGUUGUAAGUGGCCUGCACUGAAAAUAUUGAGUGUAUUUGGUUGUAAUUUGUCUUAUUUGUAAAAAAAAAAAGAAUUGCUGCCACUUGCAUUACAAAUGACACAAAUUUAUACAGCAGACUAAUUUAGUAAAAAAGGAAAUAGGGUUCUUCUG